This 489-nucleotide ribosomal RNA is filed under the name uncultured bacterium. RNAcentral's name for it is "bacterial SSU rRNA". It matches the Rfam family "Bacterial small subunit ribosomal RNA", at positions 15 to 518 of the family's 1533-position model. The record is from RNAcentral.
GAUCCUGGCUCAGGAUAAACGCUGGCGGCAUGCCUAAUACAUGCAAGUCGAACGGAGUUACCUUCGGGUAACUUAGUGGCGAACGGGUGAGUAACACGUAGGUAAUCCAUCCCAAGGACGAGGAUAGCUUCUGGAAACGGAAGGUAAAACUGGAUAGUUAAUUAAAGGGCAUCCUUUAGUUAUUAAAAGAGCAAUCUACCCUGGGAAGAGCCUGCGGCGCAUUAGCUAGUUGGUGAGGUAAUGGCCCACCAAGGCGAUGAUGCGUAGCCGGACUGAGAGGUCGACCGGCCACAUUGGGACUGAGACACGGCCCAGACUCCUACGGGAGGCAGCAGUAGGGAAUUUUCGGCAAUGGGCGGAAGCCUGACCGAAGCAAUGCCGCGUGAAUGAUGAAGUAUUUCGGUAUGUAAAGUUCUUUUAACAGGGACGAAAAAACAAAUUGACGGUACCUGUUGAAUAAGCUCCGGCUAACUACGUGCCAGCAGCCGC